CUAAGUGCGGCCAUCAUAUGAAUGUUCGGGAAAGAAGAAGAAAAUUACUUCCACCACCAUCUUUUUCAAUCGAUUUUUAUUGAGAAAAGAUUUUAAUAGACAACUUGACGUUGGAUCAAGUAUUUGAAAUUGAUUAUGAAAAUGGUUUGGAAAUGAAAUGAUCAUGAAUGAAAUCUAAUUGAUGGUGAAAAUGAUUUGAUUCGAGAAAGUUGCUCGAUAUUGGAUCGAG
RNAcentral lists this long non-coding RNA (229 nucleotides) under Lathyrus oleraceus (garden pea). RNAcentral describes it as "Pisum sativum (pea) long non-coding RNA (PSAT_LNC013186)". Lineage: Eukaryota; Viridiplantae; Streptophyta; Magnoliopsida; Fabales; Fabaceae. The record is from RNAcentral.